GCCAUCUGGCUGCUUCUGUACCUCUCUGGGGACUCUCAACUUCCCUGCACUGAGACACCCACACCUGGCUCUUUCUGCCCUAUAGCUCUUGCACCGUAAUGAGUCAAGGGCAGUACUGAGAUUUCACAAGUUCCCAGGCCUUCCCCAGGGGAAUUGGAGGUGCGUGUCUCCUCUGCUCUCAGUCCCCAGAUCCAGAGAGGGGUCUGCUUCUCCUUCCCUUCCCACAAGCACCAAGGCUCUCUCUUCUUCUCUCACUUCUUCUUUCAAUCCCCUCCAAAAGUUAUCUAGCCACAGGGCAAUAAGAACUGGCUUUGACUGAUUUGCAUUCUUUCAAAUAUUUUCCUGUGCUAAGACCUAAGCUGCUGGAAGUCAAAAGCAGAUUAUUUGUAUUUUUGCUCUUCUGCUGCCUAUACUAGAAGAUGGAAGAAGGAGAGGAGGAAAUGCCAGAGAAAGAAGCAUGGAUAACAUCGCAGAAUACCACACCCUACCCAGAUCAAGCACCUCCCCCCGAACCUUGGCUCCUUACGAGGACUGCUGGGGCCACAGCGAUAGCAUGAGAAGCAAUCAGGGCUUGGGACCCAAAAAGAACCACGGAGACUCCCCAAUGGUCCCACAUUUAUUCUCUUCCACGUGGUCUGGAUAGAAAACUAGAGAGAGUGUGGACAGCACUUGCCUCCGCUGAAAAAGUAACUCUCACCCUCUUCCCCCAACUCAGACUGUUCCAGAACAACCAGAGGCGUAGAGCCACACACUCCUCUCAGCCAGCCUGUGAGUGAGGCUGAGUUGCACUAAAGAGAUUGUGCAGGCGCCGCCAGCUUCCCAAAGGCAGACUCUUCCCACAGCUGCAAACACUCCUCUAAGAACUCACCCACCCUCGCAGCUUGACCAACGUUCUCUGCAACUUCCUAGAAGAUGAAAACAUACCCUCCAGCCCUAGCUGUUCUCAGCUGAGCCCACUGUUCCCUAGUGGAUCCGCCUUCCAAUGCCACCACCUUCCCUUCUACGAAGUCCCAGCCAGGGGAUGAACUACAGAGGCAGCCCCUUCCCCAUCACCAUUACUGUCACUGACUGGCUGUGGGCCUUCAUGCUCUUCCGGGUUCUGGUUGGACGGUAGCCAGGGAAAAUGCAGGGGGUGGGGUGCCGUGACAGGGAAGUCACCUGCAGCCCAGAUCUGCUGCGUCCCAGGGUGUGCACUAGAAAGUGAAUUGUUUCUUGUUCUUUUUUUUCUUUGUUAUAUGCUCUAGGGAAUAAAAGGAAUUUUCUUCCUUACACCCACCUCACCCCCAGCGGGACCAGACUCUUCCUGUCUGAGAUUUCCUCACUCCCUGUGGGGUUCAGGGGGUACAGACACAGGUUUUGGGGGUUUUAAUCUCUGGAAAGAAGAGAACUUGUCAGGACCUCCAAGAGACCUCCCUAAACAGAACCUGUUUUUGAAUAACCUGAGGGUAUUUCUCUAGGUCAUCCCUGAGGGCAGGGGAGGGUCAGGCUCUCGGUUUCAAAGAUAGGCUGGGGAUGGGGGGCCUACCUGGACUGGAACAGGAUGCACUUUUGAGGGUCCUGUGAGUGGUGGGCACUGGGACCUCACCUACCUGGGAGGACCCCUGUGGAGACAGUGCCAGGAGCCCCUUGUGGCCUUGCUCGGGAUCACAACCUCUGAGAAACCUUCCAGUGGGCUGGGAGAACCUGGGCCAGGAGUUACCGGUGGUGAGUGAAUGGCCCUGGCCUGAUCUGCCUGAGGCCUCACCUCCCAAGGCCUCACCUGCCCAUUCUUGAGUUGCUUACCCCCUGAAUCUCAACAAAGUCCCCGGGAAGAGAAGAGUGGCCCUGGGUGACCGCUGGGGGAUUCUUGCCAAGUGGUCAAGUUGAAACCAGGUGGGAUUUCAUGUGGAAACAUAAAGAAAGAAAACGUUUCUUUGCAUCUCAAGUCUAAGGGUGGAUUCAUGUUUGGCAAAUGUUAUCCCACCUCUCCUAUGAUUCCCAUUUUACAGAUGAGGAAAUUAAGGCUCAAGGAAAGUGAGUAACCCCCAAGUUCACUGAGUACAGUCAAACGCAGCUUUGUCUGACUACAAAGAACAUGCUUUUUCAGCCUCCCCACAUAGUUAGCAGAUAUCAGUUAGCACAAAGCUAUUUAGUGGCAGGGUCCAGGCCAACAUCUGGGACCAUGCUGGUUUCAGAAAUGGGGCGAUUCUCUCUGGAGUCAUCCUCUUGGGAACAGACUGGCCCCAGAAGUUCUUCUAGACCUGCAACUGGAUGCCCUCAGCUCUCUAAGUCACUGUCCCCCACCUGUGGAGUCGGUACAGUGAGACAGGAUUUAUCCUUCUCAUGAAAAUGUUGAGAAUGACAUGAGAAAAUGUGCACAGAAGCACUUUAGAAAUUAAAAGUGAUUGUGUUAGGCUAAUAAUGCCCCCACCGAAAUAUAUCUACAUCCUCAUUCUUGAAACUUGAGACUGUUACCUUAUAUGGCAUUAAAAAGGAUGAACCCUUACAGAUAUGAUGUGACUAAAUUAAGGAUCUUGAGACAGACAUUAUCUUGGAUUAUUUGGAUGGUCCUUAAACUCAAGCACAUGCAUCCUCAUCUGAGGGGUCAGAGGAAGAUUUUAUACACAGACACAGAGGAGAAGGAGGUGUGACCACAGAGGCAGAGCCUGGGGUGACAUGGCCACAAGCCAAGGACUACCAGCAGCCACCCCAGCUGGAGGAGGUAAGGAAUGACUUCUUGCUUGGAACCUCCAGAGAAAGCACAGCUCUGCAGGUACCUUGAUUCCAGCCCAGUGAUAUAUGUAUUAGUCCAUUUUCGCACUGCUAAUAAAGGCAUACCUGAGACUGGGUAAUUUAUUCAGGAAAGAGGUUUAGUGGACUUACAGUUACACUUGGCUGGGGAGGCCUCACAAUCAUGGCGCAAGGCAAGAAGGAGCAAGUCACAUCUUACAUGGAUGGCAGCAGGCAAAGAGAGCUUGUGCAGAGAGGAGACCCCUGUUUUAAAAACCAUGAGAUCUCAUCAGACUCACUCACUAUCAUGAGAACAGCAGGGGAAC
Molecule: long non-coding RNA, 3035 nt
Filed under: Homo sapiens (human)
Lineage: Eukaryota; Metazoa; Chordata; Mammalia; Primates; Hominidae
Description: HSALNT0169381
Source: RNAcentral